Molecule: long non-coding RNA, 405 nt
Organism: Myiozetetes cayanensis
Lineage: Eukaryota; Metazoa; Chordata; Aves; Passeriformes; Tyrannidae
Exons: 3
Source: RefSeq, a predicted model, not a curated record
AAGCUCCAGAGAUGUUCGUUUGCAUUUGACAAGCUGCUUCCCAAUUGUUGUACCUACUACUAGUACCAGAGAACCAAACUCCAAAAGUAAGUACAAAUCACAAGUGAAUGAAAUCACCCCUAUCUGUUUUGUUCUCUUUACAGAAAAUGCCUUGAGAGGUGGCACCGAAUCCUGCUGACAAGAUUAAUUACCUCUUGGGAAGAGACAAGGAACUGCAAAUGUAAUUUUGUUAUUCAGCUGAGUGUCAGAGGGGAAGGAAGUUUUUAUGAGGUCCCUCUUACUGUAGCUGAAGGCACUGGGAAUGUCCCUAGAGUACGAGCGCAGUGUAUAAAAAGGGGGAAGUCACACUCGAUGCAUCAGUCGCUCGCUCAUCUCGCUGAGCAUAUAGCUGAGAUCAUGAUGGUC